RNAcentral lists this ribosomal RNA (507 nucleotides) under uncultured bacterium. RNAcentral describes it as "partial 16S ribosomal RNA". It matches the Rfam family "Bacterial small subunit ribosomal RNA", at positions 28 to 506 of the family's 1533-position model. The record is from RNAcentral.
GACGAACGCUGGCGGCGUGCCUAAUACAUGCAAGUCGAACGCUUCUUUCCUCCCGAGUGCUUGCACUCAAUUGGAAAGAGGAGUAGCGGACGGGUGAGUAACACGUGGGUAACCUACCCAUCAGAGGGGGAUAACACUUGGAAACAGGUGCUAAUACCGCAUAACAGUUUAUGCCGCAUGGCAUAAGAGUGAAAGGCGCUUUCGGGUGUCGCUGAUGGAUGGACCCGCGGUGCAUUAGCUAGUUGGUGAGGUAACGGCUCACCAAGGCCACGAUGCAUAGCCGACCUGAGAGGGUGAUCGGCCACACUGGGACUGAGACACGGCCCAGACUCCUACGGGAGGCAGCAGUAGGGAAUCUUCGGCAAUGGACGAAAGUCUGACCGAGCAACGCCGCGUGAGUGAAGAAGGUUUUCGGAUCGUAAAACUCUGUUGUUAGAGAAGAACAAGGACGUUAGUAACUGAACGUCCCCUGACGGUAUCUAACCAGAAAGCCACGGCUAACUACGU